RNAcentral lists this ribosomal RNA (253 nucleotides) under uncultured bacterium. RNAcentral's name for it is "partial 16S ribosomal RNA". It matches the Rfam family "Bacterial small subunit ribosomal RNA", at positions 524 to 776 of the family's 1533-position model. The record is from RNAcentral.
UACGUAGGGGGCCAGCGUUGUUCGGAAUUACUGGGCGUAAAGGGUUCGUAGGCGGUGUGGCAAGUUGGGUGUGAAAUCUCUGGGCUCAACCCAGAGGCUGCUUCCAAAACUGCCAUGCUUGAGUGUGGGAGAGGCGCGUGGAAUUGCAGGUGUAGCGGUGAAAUGCGUAGAUAUCUGGAGGAACACCCGUGGCGAAGGCGGCGCGCUGGACCGCAACUGACGCUGAGGAACGAAAGCGAGGGGAGCAAACAGG